UACGAAGGGUGCAAGCGUUACUCGGAAUUACUGGGCGUAAAGGGUGCGUAGGUGGUUUGUUAAGUCUGCUGUGAAAUCCCCGGGCUCAACCUGGGAAUGGCAGUGGAUACUGGCAAGCUAGAGUGCGGUAGAGGGUAGUGGAAUUCCCGGUGUAGCAGUGAAAUGCGUAGAGAUCGGGAGGAACACCAGUGGCGAAAGCGGCUUCCUGGUCCAGCACCGACGUUCAGGCACGAAAGCGUGGGGAGCAAACAGG
Molecule: ribosomal RNA, 253 nt
Filed under: uncultured bacterium
Lineage: Bacteria
Description: partial 16S ribosomal RNA
Rfam family: Bacterial small subunit ribosomal RNA
Source: RNAcentral